RNAcentral lists this transfer RNA (114 nucleotides) under Muricoccus roseus. RNAcentral's name for it is "Roseomonas rosea tRNA". It matches the Rfam family "tRNA". From Rfam's summary of the family: Transfer RNA (tRNA) molecules are approximately 80 nucleotides in length. Their secondary structure includes four short double-helical elements and three loops (D, anti-codon, and T loops). Further hydrogen bonds mediate the characteristic L-shaped molecular structure. tRNAs have two regions of fundamental functional importance: the anti-codon, which is responsible for specific mRNA codon recognition, and the 3' end, to which the tRNAs corresponding amino acid is attached (by aminoacyl-tRNA synthetases). tRNAs cope with the degeneracy of the genetic code in two manners: having more than one tRNA (with a specific anti-codon) for a particular amino acid; and 'wobble' base-pairing, i.e. permitting non-standard base-pairing at the 3rd anti-codon position. The record is from Rfam by way of RNAcentral. Lineage: Bacteria; Pseudomonadati; Pseudomonadota; Alphaproteobacteria; Acetobacterales; Roseomonadaceae.
CGCGGCGUAGCUCAACUGGAUAGAGCGUCCGCCAUCUGCGUAGUUGAAAGUGUGCGUGCUGCGCACCCGAUCCUACGCGGCGGAGAGAUGCGGGUUCAAGUCCCGCCGCCGUGC